ACUUGUCAUGUUCGGUGGCAUAUGUCUAUGGUCCCAGCUACUCAGGAGGCUGAGGCAGGAGGGUCAGUUGAGCCCAGGGGUUCUGAGCUAUAGUGCUGUUUGCCUAUGGGGUGUCCACACUAAGUUCAACAUCAGUAUGGUGACCUCCCAGGAGCAGGACCACCAGAUUGCCUAAGGAGGGGUGAACCAGCCCAGGUCAAAAAGGGAGCAGGUCAAAACUUCUAUGCUGACUGGCUUAGUAGCUUGCACCUGUACUCCCAGCUACUCAGAAAGCCGAGGCAGGCGCAUCCCUUA
Rhinopithecus bieti (black snub-nosed monkey) is the source of this 294-nucleotide unclassified non-coding RNA. It matches the Rfam family "Metazoan signal recognition particle RNA". Rfam says of the family: The signal recognition particle (SRP) is a universally conserved ribonucleoprotein. It is involved in the co-translational targeting of proteins to membranes. The eukaryotic SRP consists of a 300-nucleotide 7S RNA and six proteins: SRPs 72, 68, 54, 19, 14, and 9. Lineage: Eukaryota; Metazoa; Chordata; Mammalia; Primates; Cercopithecidae. The record is from Ensembl.